Lactuca sativa (garden lettuce) is the source of this 420-nucleotide long non-coding RNA. RefSeq lists it as uncharacterized. The record is from RefSeq and is a predicted model, not a curated record. NCBI's taxonomy places the organism in Eukaryota, Viridiplantae, Streptophyta, Magnoliopsida, Asterales, Asteraceae.
UAUAUAUACAGCCACAAAAAGGUCAAAAAGCAAUACCAACAAACUAUUACAUAAUGAAGUUGUCUAUCGAGUCCAGGCUCUUGAUUACUCUUGCUUCUUGUAUGCUCUUGAUCUUUAGUAUUAUUUUGGCUUCUGCAAAUGUGUCAGUUAGUCAGAGGGGUCCUGCAGUUCGAGAUCCUGGACCUGAUCCUUCUAAUGGUAGGAGGUUACUGUUUGAGAACGCUAUGUUAGUUUAGUACCAAUAAUCUUCAGGAAAUCAAGAGGGACUAAAAUAAAAUCAUAAUUACAAUAGCUAGAUUAUGGUAGUCUUGGAAAAUGUUGUAUUUUUCUGUACUAUUAUCCUCUAUCCUUAUGGAAUUUCUCUUUCUCUAUGUUUUAUCAUUUGUGUAUUCAGUUGUGAUUUCUCAUUGUUCCAUGUUA